RNAcentral lists this ribosomal RNA (1702 nucleotides) under Triticum aestivum (bread wheat). RNAcentral's name for it is "partial small subunit ribosomal RNA". Lineage: Eukaryota; Viridiplantae; Streptophyta; Magnoliopsida; Poales; Poaceae. The record is from RNAcentral.
UGACCUGUGUGUUGUACCACAUCCAACGCAAGGGCAAAAACUAGUGCCAACAUUCCUAUAUCCUCCCCACCCCUCACCCCCUCCCGAACGAGAUGCCACAGCCACAAAAUCCCCUCCUCCUCCUCACCAAACCUAACCUUAUCCGUGGCGUGCGUCUUCGCUGCUUGUGGUCUCCCAAAUGGAAUCCUCUUCCUCGUCAUCUGGAGCACGCUCGUCCUCCCAUGGUGGACCUCCUGGCUAUUCUCCGAACCCUUCCCCAAUUCCUUAUCGUGAGCAGCCGCUAGCAUACGAGCCAUCUGAAGAUUGCCCAUGCCACAAGAAAGCGGCGAGAUGGAUCUCCUGGAGCAACGGAAAUCCUGGUCGUAGGUAUCUGACCUGCCAGAGAUCUCGGGUAAGCAUUCAUUUGACAGUAUUUCCUUCUCCAUUCUUGCUGGAUCUUUCUCGCAUUCAUAUAUUUGGCACACUUUCUUGGCGAUGGAUUGAUGACCCUACUACGCCCUUUCUUCGCCAACUUUUGGUCGAUCUGCGUGACGCGGUGAACAACCUCCGGAGGGAGAACACUCAGCUCAGAGGAGUAAAUGCAGACCUGGAAAUGGGGAUUGAGGACCGAAGCACCCAGAAUAAUGCUUUGCGGGAUGCAUUGCGCAAGAUGAAGGAACAGAAUCAGGCUCUUGAAGAGAAGUUGGGGCAAACUGAAGGCCCGCUGAAUGUGAAAAACAAUGGUCAUCAGAAGCGGAUGCUUUUUAGUGUAGUUCUGAUAGUGAUGAUUGUGUUUUUAGUUAGCAAGCUUGCUGCUUAGUAUGAUUAACUUAGAGAUGCACUGCUUCUGCUGUUGUGCUCUGGAUGUGCAAUAUAUUUACUAUUGUGCUCGUCGCUGCUGUUUCCCCUCGUCAAACUGAAGAAUGUAAUUUCUUUUAAACAUGGUACGUAUGUCACAUGUUAGAAAUCAUGUAGCAUAACAUAUUGGCAGGGCAUCAUAAAUUUAACGAUAGCAAACACAAGUUUCUUAGACAAAAGACAAGCCCCGUUUCAAUUUCAGAUGAACUUGUCCUUUCUCGCAUCAGUACAAAUGUUAUCUUCUUACUUGCACAUCAUCUGAAGAAGUGCCAAGUUUUAAUGUCUUGAAACUGAAAGAUCACUACACGGCCGAAUAAACCUAAAUGUUCACCACAACAUCAUUUUUCAUCUUCCUUAACAGCAAAUGAGGUUAUUUGCACAAAAAAAUGCACGAGGCAAGAGUAAAAGUAAACCAGUUGCAAGUGCAAUCAAAUCAUUGGAAGACGCCGAACAUUCUUCCUGAGCAGUUAUUCCUCUUGUGGCCUUCCAGGCCGCACUUUGUACACUUUGGAACUUUCCUUUUUUUCUUUGCUACCCCUCCAAAUGAGGGGCAUCCCGAUGCUUUGUGACCCCUCCCUCUACAGAUUGAGCAAAACUUUGUUCUUGGCUUGCUAACAUUUUCAUAACCUGGCUUUGCUCUUGCGUUUGUUGGCCUGCCUAGAUCCCUCUUGCGUGAUACAACAUUCAUUGAACCUGACAGACCAUUUGCUCCUGGUGUCACAGGGACAUCUUGGUCAUGUGCUUGAGCAGUGGCUUGAUCAUUUAACCCUCGUCCAUCGCUCUCCUGGUUGAUAUCAUUUAGAACACUUAUUGCGUCCAGCAACUGCUUCAUUGCAGCUCCAUAAGCUUCAGUGUUCUUGUCCCC